RNAcentral lists this transfer RNA (65 nucleotides) under Anaerostipes caccae. It matches the Rfam family "tRNA", at positions 5 to 66 of the family's 71-position model. Rfam says of the family: Transfer RNA (tRNA) molecules are approximately 80 nucleotides in length. Their secondary structure includes four short double-helical elements and three loops (D, anti-codon, and T loops). RNAcentral also lists the same sequence under 1 other name. Lineage: Bacteria; Bacillati; Bacillota; Clostridia; Lachnospirales; Lachnospiraceae. The record is from RNAcentral.
CUGUAGCUCAGCUGGAUAGAGCAACGGCCUUCUAAGCCGUAGGUCAUGGGUUCGAAUCCCCUCAG